RNAcentral lists this ribosomal RNA (253 nucleotides) under uncultured bacterium. RNAcentral's name for it is "partial 16S ribosomal RNA". It matches the Rfam family "Bacterial small subunit ribosomal RNA", at positions 524 to 776 of the family's 1533-position model. The record is from RNAcentral.
UACAGAGGAGCCAAGCGUUGUCCGGAUUGACUGGGCGUAAAGCGCACGCAGGCGGGUGCGCGCGUGGGGUGUGAAAUCUGGCCGCUUAACGGCCAGGCGCCAUCCCAUACGGCGCGCCUGGAGCCUUGCAGAGGUCGGUGGAAUUGCCGGUGUAGUGGUGAAAUGCGCAGAUAUCAGGAGGAACACCGGUGGCGAAGGCGGGUCUCUGGGCCGAUACUGACGCUGAGGAGCGAAAGCGUGGGGAGCGAACAGG